CGAAAGUUACGCUAAUACCGCAUAUGCCCUGAGGGGGAAAGGGGGGGAUCGCAAGACCUCUCGCUUUCGGAGUGGCCGAUACCGGAUUAGCUUGUUGGUGAGGUAAAGGCUCACCAAGGCGACGAUCCGUAGCUGGUCUGAGAGGACAACCAGCCACACUGGAACUGAGACACGGUCCAGACUCCUACGGGAGGCAGCAGUGGGGAAUUUUGGAAAUGGGCGAAAGCCUGAUCCAGCCAUACCGCGUGAGUGAAGAAGGCCUUCGGGUUUUAAGCUCUUUCAGCCGGAAAGAGUUACACUUCUUAUACAAAGUGUAAAUGACUGUACCGGAAGACAAGCACCGGCUAAUACGUGCCACAGCCGCGGUAAUACGUAGGGUGCGAGCGUUGUCGGAAUUACUGGGCGUAAACGUGCCAAGCGGUUUUUAAGUCAGAUGUGAAAUCCCCGGGCUAACCUGGGAACUGCAUUUGAACUGGAAGACUAGAUAUAGAAAGGGAGGUGAAUUCCCGUGUAGAGUGAACUGGUAAAUUGUGGAGAAUACCAUGGCGAAGGAGCCUCCGGGUUAUAAUGACGCUCAGCACGAAGCGUGGGAGCAAAAGGUUAAUA
This 606-nucleotide ribosomal RNA is filed under the name uncultured bacterium. Its description in RNAcentral is "bacterial SSU rRNA". It matches the Rfam family "Bacterial small subunit ribosomal RNA", at positions 152 to 782 of the family's 1533-position model. The record is from RNAcentral.